RNAcentral lists this ribosomal RNA (482 nucleotides) under uncultured bacterium. Its description in RNAcentral is "partial 16S ribosomal RNA". It matches the Rfam family "Bacterial small subunit ribosomal RNA", at positions 30 to 507 of the family's 1533-position model. The record is from RNAcentral.
AUUGAACGCUGGCGGCAUGCCUUACACAUGCAAGUCGAACGGUAACAGGUCUUCGGAUGCUGACGAGUGGCGAACGGGUGAGUAAUACAUCGGAACGUGCCCGAUCGUGGGGGAUAACGCAGCGAAAGCUGUGCUAAUACCGCAUACGAUCUACGGAUGACAGCGGGGGAUCGCAAGACCUCGCGCGGACGGAGCGGCCGAUGGCAGAUUAGGUAGUUGGUGGGAUAAAAGCUUACCAAGCCGACGAUCUGUAGCUGGUCUGAGAGGACGACCAGCCACACUGGGACUGAGACACGGCCCAGACUCCUACGGGAGGCAGCAGUGGGGAAUUUUGGACAAUGGGCGCAAGCCUGAUCCAGCCAUGCCGCGUGCAGGAUGAAGGCCUUCGGGUUGUAAACUGCUUUUGUACGGAACGAAAAAGCUCUCUCUAAUACAGGGGGUGAAUGACGGUACCGUAAGAAUAAGCACCGGCUAACUACGUG